Molecule: ribosomal RNA, 253 nt
Filed under: uncultured bacterium
Lineage: Bacteria
Description: partial 16S ribosomal RNA
Rfam family: Bacterial small subunit ribosomal RNA
Source: RNAcentral
UACAGAGGUCCCGAGCGUUGUUCGGAUUCACUGGGCGUUAAGGGUGCGUAGGUGGCAUGGUAAGUUUGAUGUGAAAGCUCAGGGCUUAACCCUGAAAUGGCAUUGAAUACUACUGUGCUGGAGGUUUGGAGGGGGGACUGGAAUUCUUGGUGUAGCAGUGAAAUGCGUAGAUAUCAAGAGGAACACCAGUGGCGAAGGCGAGUCCCUGGACAACACCUGACACUGAGGCACGAAAGCUAGGGGAGCAAACAGG